UUCACAUGUAUUUCUUAUUUUAAUUUCUUUAAAAACAUUGGAGGGAACUCUUAAGAUACAAACCUUAAGAAUAUCGAUGAAAUACAGUUUGUUUACAUCGGGCACGUACCCUGUUGUCAUUACUGAUCGUCGUCCGCUGCUGCUCAGGCAUGCAAACACUUGAUGACUGGAGGGAGACAGGUGGUCUCAGUAGUAGCAGUUGCUGCAAGACCAGUAACCCUUCAAUGAAUCUGCAAGAGUUUUCUGCACAGUGUGUGUUUUGUGAAGGAAUGUGUUUGCAGUGUUAGAAAGCCAUAGUCUGCUGACUACCACAUGAACAGUGUUGGGAAGCCAUAGUGCUCUGCAUAGUAUGGAAACACAGGUCAAGAUGGAGCAGAUCAGGACUUUUGAGUGCGAAGAAUGUGGGGAGGUAGUGACCAGCAACAGCAGGCUUAUCCAGCACCUGCUGUCCCACCGAGGAGCAACUGUGUUUUGCUGUGAGGAGUGUGAAGAAGUGUUCCUCAGUGUGAGCCAGCUGGACCAACACACAGCAACCUUGCACUCCUCUGCCACCAAGACUUAUGACUGUGAUGAAUGUGGGAAAUGCCUCCUUCACCAGAAUAGUUUAAUAGCACAUAAAAAUAUGCAUAAUGGAGUAUCUGAUUACGAAUGUAAGCAUUGUGGAAAAGAGUUCUAUUCAAGAAAGAGCCUGACUCAGCACCUUAGGGUCCAUACUAAGAGAGCAUUUAUGUGUGAAGAGUGUGGCGGCAAGUUUAAGUGGAAGGGGGACCUCACAAAACACCUGAGGAAUGUUCAUCGUCAAACGUUCAAAUACAAAUGCACUAAGUGUGGCACAGGGUUUUUUCACAAGCAAGACCUUUCAGAGCACAUGAGCUUUUCUCAUGGAGGACAAAAGAAAUACAAAAGUAAAGAUUGAAACACAGUGUGGUACUUAUUAUUUAAGGAAUUGUAAUUGAAAAUUAUGAUUCUAAGUUACGAUUCAACCUUUUAGUCAAAGAUAAUAUAAACCAUUACUGUUUGGGUUCUACAACAAAGGGAUUAAUGCUUGUGAGAAAAAAAAACAUGAGUAAGGCAACUCAUACAGUAUCAACUUCCUAUUACCCCAGCUGUUGUCAUCUUGCCUACCGCUAUAACAUGGAUUUCAGUAACCUUGGUAAAACAAUCAUAAGUAAGAGGUAAUUGAGUUUUUCAUAGGAAUCAAAUUAAGAAAUGAACAGUUGUUAACCUACAGUUGUUGCAGAUUGGCUCAAUGGUGAUGUGACUCAUAAGUGAUUAGUUAGUAAGCUAAUGAACAAGUAAACAAUUUAAAAUGUAUCAAAGAUUUUACAAAAAAUUCAUCAGUACUUACCAGGAAGAGUUUCAUAAAGAGGGACUUAUACUUGCAAAAAGGUUAUGUAUUUAAACAUUCCUGAAAUUGUGUAAUUUAGCAUGAAAACUUGAGAUACUGAAAUACUAUCUGGCUUGUAUACAGCCACUGCAUUACUAUAAGAUGCAUUCACAUGCCUAACUUCUUGUCAUUCAAACACUACUUUUAAAUUCUUGCAUUUCAAGUCCUAAAUUCUUUCAUCUCUUUCUUGUUCUUCAUUAACAAAAAGCACCAGUGAUGGGAGAUUACAGUAUUCAAAAGAGAUGAAGCAAAUGUGGGACAUAAUGAGGAGUUAAGUGUGUGAAUAGCAUAAAUCACCAGAUGCAAAUCUGCCCAUUAUAGGAAGUGUCAAGAAGGAGAGAUGGAAAUAAGGAACUCUAAACAAUACCUAAUAGUGGUUACAACAUGAUGCAGACUGCCAUCCACACUAAUCACAGUAAAACCUAUACAUACAUCCAAAACAGCAUUUAGUAAGACUAGAGUUUAAUAUUUUCCUAGUUGAAAAUAUCAUACUGAUGCCAUAAAGUCAUCUAAUCCAGUAUUUGACAUAAAAUAUGUUGUAGUACAAUAUUGAGAGUCCAAAUUCAAGUAUGAAAGAAUGAGUGAUAGAGACAUAGAUGAAAUAUUGUUGUUUUUAUGCACUAAGUAAGAUACAGUGGAACAUCAGUUCUAGAACUUAAUUAGUUCCUGAAUACCAUUCAAAAUCCAAAAUGUUCAAAAACUGAAACUAUUUUCCCCAUAAGAAUCAAUGUAAAAUGGAUUAAUCCAUUCCCAGACACCAGUCUACCUGUCUUAGCAGCUUAUGACAGACACUCCCUCAGCCAAGAUGGCUGCUUCACAACAUCAGCUCACAAAUUAUUAAUCCAGAAAGGAUGUAUUGAAUGAACUUAGUGGCACAGAACUCAUCAGAAGAUACUUUUAGACCAUGCAGGUAUUCUCUUUGUCACAGAUCUAGUAAGGAAAGCCUUAGAGGGACACAGAGAGGAGCAACCCACUUACAACCAAGAUGAAGAUGAUCAUAACACUCAGACAUCUUGCUGCUGGGAAAAGCUACUGGAAAAAUGCAGUUGUGCAGUAGUGAUGGUGUUGGGGGUCACUGAGAGAGCCACAGGUGGCUCGGCAUUACUCCUGAGUGCCAAAACUGUUUGUUUACAUCAAGGUUUAUCAACGGGAUCACAUUUACCUUAUUUCAGGGAUUGAAUUACUGUCUUACACUCUGUGUCUCUCCUCUAAAUAUAUAAAAAUGAAGUAAAUAUUUAUAGAAAUUAUAAAUUAGCAGUAAACGGCAGCUUUUGCUAUGUCUUUUAAUAUUUGAAAUCAAGUAACUUUGUUCUAGAACAGAAUUAUGGUACUGCAACUAAAGCACUAAUGAGUUCAAAAUUUUGUUCAAAAAUCUACUUGUUUGAAAAGGGAGACAUUCAGUAACUGAGGUUCCACUGUACAAAAGUUCACUCUGCUUCCAAGGAUAGCAUCAUAUUCAAAUAUAUAAAGGUUGAAGCUAAUUACUAUGGUGUCUUGUUUGUAGCUGCUGGGAAGGUAGCUAUACAUGGUGUGAAAGAUUUCAUUGAAAGGAUUCCUGUGGGAAUGGCAAAAUAAGUAGACAGGAAAAGAUUAUUUCUUAAGGGUUUUUUAACCAGUGUGAUGUAGUAAUGUAGCAUGUCUGUAGAGGUCAUGAGCAAGACCUUCAAAUUGCAAUAACAAACUGAGCAUUGGGCUGCCAGGUUCCUCUGCUCUGGUUGAUUGAGGAUGGAGUUAUGGUCCUUAUGAAGUAUGGGUAGUAGGGUGACACUUACAGCAGAGGAACUGCUGAAGUUGUGGGGGGAGGAUGGAUUCAGUGGAAGUUGCUUUGGAGAUUAAAUGGAUGAUGUAAA
Molecule: long non-coding RNA, 3237 nt
Organism: Scylla paramamosain (green mud crab)
Lineage: Eukaryota; Metazoa; Arthropoda; Malacostraca; Decapoda; Portunidae
Exons: 2
Source: RefSeq, a predicted model, not a curated record